Molecule: small nucleolar RNA, 106 nt
Filed under: Eutrema salsugineum
Lineage: Eukaryota; Viridiplantae; Streptophyta; Magnoliopsida; Brassicales; Brassicaceae
Description: Plant small nucleolar RNA R71
Rfam family: Plant small nucleolar RNA R71
About the family: R71 is a member of the C/D box family of snoRNAs containing the C (UGAUGA) and D (CUGA) box motifs. Multiple nearly identical copies of this snoRNA have been identified in Arabidopsis, and it is thought to function as a 2'-O-ribose methylation guide for 18S ribosomal RNA.
Source: Rfam by way of RNAcentral
AAGCCGUGGUGUGGGCAUUGGUUAGUAUAGCUUCUGAACCGUUCCCAAGCUUCACUAAAGCUCUCGUUGUGUUCUGUGUGAAACUUGAGAUCUGAUUCCUGAGUUU